AAUUGGUUUUUGCGGCUGUCUGACCAGGCAGUGCCGCGACGCUACCAUCUGCCGGAUAAUGGCUGAACGCCUCUAAGCCAGAAUCCGUGCUAGAAGCGAUAACGUUGGUCCCGCACAUGCCUAGUGUUGGAAUAGAGCUUUGCUCGUACACCAUACAAGCCGCGUGCAGCCGGAAGGGGUAGCGUGGUUGAUUGCAAUGUAAACAUGCGCGGGGGGAAAUCCUUUGCAGACGACUUGAAUG
RNAcentral lists this ribosomal RNA (241 nucleotides) under uncultured Chlamydomonas. RNAcentral describes it as "partial Eukaryotic large subunit ribosomal RNA". It matches the Rfam family "Eukaryotic large subunit ribosomal RNA", at positions 3058 to 3322 of the family's 3401-position model. The record is from RNAcentral. Lineage: Eukaryota; Viridiplantae; Chlorophyta; Chlorophyceae; Chlamydomonadales; Chlamydomonadaceae.